AUACGGAGGAUCCGAGCGUUAUCCGGAUUUAUUGGGUUUAAAGGGUGCGCAGGCGGCCGUUUAAGUCAGCGGUUAAAUCGUGGGGCUCAACCCCAUUCUGCCGUUGAUACUGGGUGGCUUGAUUGCGGUCGAGGUUGGCGGAAUUCGUUGUGUAGCGGUGAAAUGCAUAGAUAUGACGAAGAACACCGAUUGCGUAGGCAGCUGACCAGAUCGCAAAUGACGCUCAUGCACGAAAGUGCGGGGAUCGAACAGGAUUAGAUACCCUGGUAGUCCGCACAGUAAACGAUGAAUACUUGUUUUCGGCGAUAUAAUGUCGGAGGCAAAGCGAAAGCGAUAAGUAUUCCACCUGGGGAGUACGCCGGCAACGGUGAAACUCAAAGGAAUUGACGGGG
RNAcentral lists this ribosomal RNA (392 nucleotides) under uncultured bacterium. Its description in RNAcentral is "partial 16S ribosomal RNA". It matches the Rfam family "Bacterial small subunit ribosomal RNA", at positions 523 to 918 of the family's 1533-position model. The record is from RNAcentral.